Molecule: ribosomal RNA, 790 nt
Filed under: uncultured bacterium
Lineage: Bacteria
Description: bacterial SSU rRNA
Rfam family: Bacterial small subunit ribosomal RNA
Source: RNAcentral
AUUGCGUGGCGACCGGCGCACGGGUGAGUAACACGUAUCCAACCUGCCUUUUACUCGGGGAUAGGCGUUGUCGAAAGAAAGAUUAAUACCCGAUGGCAUAAUAUUUCCGCAUGGGAUUAUUAUUAAAGAAUUUCGGUAAAAGAUGGGGAUGCGUUCCAUUAGGCAGUUGGCGGGGUAACGGCCCACCAAACCGACGAUGGAUAGGGGUUCUGAGAGGAAGGUCCCCCACAUUGGUACUGAGACACGGACCAAACUCCUACGGGAGGCAGCAGUGAGGAAUAUUGGUCAAUGGGCGCGAGCCUGAACCAGCCAAGUCGCGUGAGGGAUGAAGGUUCUAUGGAUCGUAAACCUCUUUUAUAAGGGAAUAAAGUGCGGGACGUGUCCCGUUUUGUAUGUACCUUAUGAAUAAGGAUCGGCUAACUCCGUGCCAGCAGCCGCGGUAAUACGGAGGAUCCGAGCGUUAUCCGGAUUUAUUGGGUUUAAAGGGUGCGUAGGCGGCCUUUUAAGUCAGCGGUGAAAGUCUGUGGCUCAACCAUAGAAUUGCCGUUGAAACUGGGAGGCUUGAGUAUGUUUGAGGCAGGCGGAAUGCGUGGUGUAGCGGUGAAAUGCAUAGAUAUCACGCAGAACCCCGAUUGCGAAGGCAGCCUGCCAAGCCAUUACUGACGCUGAUGCACGAAAGCGUGGGGAUCAAACAGGAUUAGAUACCCUGGUAGUCCACGCAGUAAACGAUGAUCACUAGCUGUUUGCGAUACAUUGUAAGCGGCACAGCGAAAGCGUUAAGUGAUCCACC